RNAcentral lists this ribosomal RNA (453 nucleotides) under uncultured bacterium. Its description in RNAcentral is "bacterial SSU rRNA". It matches the Rfam family "Bacterial small subunit ribosomal RNA", at positions 340 to 786 of the family's 1533-position model. The record is from RNAcentral.
UACGGAAGGCAGCAGUGGGGAAUAUUGCACAAUGGGCGCAAGCCUGAUGCAGCCAUGCCGCGUGUAUGAAGAAGGCCUUCGGGUUGUAAAGUACUUUUCAGCGGGGAGGAAGGCGGUGAAGUUAAUAGCUUCACCGAUUGACGUUACCCGCAGAAGAAGCACCGGCUAACUCCGUGCCAGCAGCCGCGGUAAUACGGAGGGUGCAAGCGUUAAUCGGAAUUACUGGGCGUAAAGCGCACGCAGGCGGUCUGUCAAGUCGGAUGUGAAAUCCCCGGGCUUAACCUGGGAACUGCAUUCGAAACUGGCAGGCUAGAGUCUGUAGAGGGGGUGAAUUCCAGGUGUAGCGGUGAAAUGCGUAGAGAUCUGGAGGAAUACCGGUGGCGAAGGCGGCCCCUGGGACAAGACUGACGCUCAGGUGCGAAAGCGUGGGGAGCAAACGAGGAUUAGGAUACC